CGGGCACAGCGGGGGGGGGGGGGGCACUCCACUGAUGGGCACAAGUCCCGACCUCCCCAUCCUCUCUCUCCCAGCCAUUCCUCUUUUCUUAUGCUCUCAUAUCUGACGCAGGACAAUAGCUCGAGGUGGGGGCGAGGCGGAUCCAUUGGCGCGACGAGGCGUGAGGCGCGUGCUAUGAUGGGCGCGGCAGAUCCAAGGUGCCCAGCUGCAUGGACCAUGAGGCCAUCCAAGGGCGAGUCGUGCUUCGACUGUGAGACGGCCGAGUUCCUACCUGUGCUGUUCCAGCCGCCGCGGGAUGGGUCCCCACCAUCUGUGGGCAUUCAAAGUGCAGUCGGCCACCUGAGCGCCACUCGUGAUGGCUUCUUGCUGCAUGCCGGCCGGACUCUAUCUUGCACUCUACCAAUUCAAGUUAGGAACGGAUAGAAUGGGAGAUAGUUUAACCCGGCUUGAUUGCCUAGUUAGAGUAAUUUGCAUGUUUUUUUUCCUUCCAUUUGCAUGCAAUUUCCAUCUUGAACUUAGCUUAAGUCGAAGCACAAUCGACCCCUAUUGUGUAAGAUGUUUGGGCUGUAUUAGCUUGAGUACCUGCCGGUUGUGUGAUCAUGAUGUUGAGUGUUGUAAGCUCUUGUACGAGUAACAUUAGCAUCACCAGGUU
This is a long non-coding RNA of Phragmites australis (common reed), 652 nucleotides long. RefSeq lists it as uncharacterized. The record is from RefSeq and is a predicted model, not a curated record. NCBI's taxonomy places the organism in Eukaryota, Viridiplantae, Streptophyta, Magnoliopsida, Poales, Poaceae. The transcript has 2 exons.